UACGGAGGGAGCUAGCGUUGUUCGGAAUUACUGGGCGUAAAGCGCACGUAGGCGGUUAUUCAAGUCAGAGGUGAAAGCCCGGGGCUCAACCCCGGAAUUGCCUUUAAGACUGCAUCGCUUGAAUCCGGGAGAGGUGAGUGGAAUUCCGAGUGUAGAGGUGAAAUUCGUAGAUAUUCGGAAGAACACCAGUGGCGAAGGCGGCUCACUGGACCGGUAUUGACGCUGAGGUGCGAAAGCGUGGGGAGCAAACAGG
This 253-nucleotide ribosomal RNA is filed under the name uncultured bacterium. RNAcentral's name for it is "partial 16S ribosomal RNA". It matches the Rfam family "Bacterial small subunit ribosomal RNA", at positions 524 to 776 of the family's 1533-position model. The record is from RNAcentral.